RNAcentral lists this ribosomal RNA (492 nucleotides) under uncultured bacterium. RNAcentral's name for it is "partial 16S ribosomal RNA". It matches the Rfam family "Bacterial small subunit ribosomal RNA", at positions 29 to 507 of the family's 1533-position model. The record is from RNAcentral.
AGUGAACGCUGGCGGUAGGCCUAACGCAUGCAAGUCGAACGGCAGCACAGUAAGAGCUUGCUCUUACGGGUGGCGAGUGGCGGACGGGUGAGGAAUACAUCGGAAUCUACUUUUUCGAGGGGGAUAACGUAGGGAAACUUACGCUAAUACCGCAGACGACCUACGGGUGAAAGCAGGGGAUCUUAGGACCUUGCGUGAUUGAAUGAGCCGAUGUCGGAUUAGCUAGUUGGCGGGGUAAAGGCCCACCAAGGCGACGAUCCGUAGCUGGUCUGAGAGGAUGAUCAGCCACACUGGAACUGAGACACGGUCCAGACUCCUACGGGAGGCAGCAGUGGGGAAUAUUGGACAAUGGGCGCAAGCCUGAUCCAGCCAUACCGCGUGUGUGAAGAAGGCCUUCGGGUUGUAAAGCCCUUUUGUUGGGAAAGAAAAGCAGCAGGUUAAUACCCCGCUGUUCUGACGUUACCCACAGAAUAAGCACCGGCUAACUUCGUG